CAGCGUUUGACAUGUCCGGACGAUUUCCAGAGAUGGAUCUCUUCCCUUCGGGGACUGGAACACAGGUGCUGCAUGGCUGUCGUCAGCUCGUGUCGUGAGAUGUUGGGUUAAGUCCCGCAACGAGCGCAACCCUCGCCUUUAGUUACCAUCAUUAAGUUGGGUACUCUAAAGGAACCGCCGGUGAUAAGCCGGAGGAAGGUGGGGAUGACGUCAAGUCCUCAUGGCCCUUACGCGCUGGGCUACACACGUGCUACAAUGGCAACUACAGUGGGCAGCGACCCUGCGAGGGCGAGCUAAUCCCCAAAAGUUGUCUCAGUUCGGAUUGUUCUCUGCAACUCGAGAGCAUGAAGGCGGAAUCGCUAGU
This 364-nucleotide ribosomal RNA is filed under the name uncultured Sphingomonas sp. Its description in RNAcentral is "bacterial SSU rRNA". It matches the Rfam family "Bacterial small subunit ribosomal RNA", at positions 975 to 1339 of the family's 1533-position model. Lineage: Bacteria; Pseudomonadati; Pseudomonadota; Alphaproteobacteria; Sphingomonadales; Sphingomonadaceae. The record is from RNAcentral.